AAAUAGAUACCCGGGUAGUCCAUGCCGUAAACGAUGUCUACUAGCCGUUGGGGCCCUUGAGGCUUUAGUGGCGCAGCUAACGCGAUAAGUAGACCGCCUGGGGAGUACGGUCGCAAGACUAAAACUCAAAUGAAUUGACGGGGGCCCGCACAAGCGGUGGAGCAUGUGGUUUAAUUCGAUGCAACGCGAAGAACCUUACCUGGCCUUGACAUACAGAGAACUUUCCAGAGAUGGAUUGGUGCCUUCGGGAACUCUGAUACAGGUGCUGCAUGGCUGUCGUCAGCUCGUGUCGUGAGAUGUUGGGUUAAGUCCCGCAACGAGCGCAACCCUUUUCCUUAUUUGCCAGCACUUCGGGUGGGAACUUUAAGGAUACUGCCAGUGACAAACUGGAGGAAGGCGGGGACGACGUCAAGUCAUCAUGGCCCUUACGGCCAGGGCUACACACGUGCUACAAUGGUCGGUACAAAGGGUUGCUACUGCGCGAGCAGAUGCUAAUCUCAAAAAAGCCGAUCGUAGUCCGGAUCGCAGU
Molecule: ribosomal RNA, 529 nt
Filed under: uncultured bacterium
Lineage: Bacteria
Description: bacterial SSU rRNA
Rfam family: Bacterial small subunit ribosomal RNA
Source: RNAcentral